Molecule: ribosomal RNA, 497 nt
Filed under: uncultured bacterium
Lineage: Bacteria
Description: partial 16S ribosomal RNA
Rfam family: Bacterial small subunit ribosomal RNA
Source: RNAcentral
GAUGAACGCUGGCGGCGUGCCUAAUACAUGCAAGUCGAGCGAACAGACGAGGAGCUUGCUCCUCUGACGUUAGCGGCGGACGGGUGAGUAACACGUGGAUAACCUACCUAUAAGACUGGGAUAACUUCGGGAAACCGGAGCUAAUACCGGAUAAUAUAUUGAACCGCAUGGUUCAAUAGUGAAAGACGGUUUUGCUGUCACUUAUAGAUGGAUCCGCGCCGCAUUAGCUAGUUGGUAAGGUAACGGCUUACCAAGGCAACGAUGCGUAGCCGACCUGAGAGGGUGAUCGGCCACACUGGAACUGAGACACGGUCCAGACUCCUACGGGAGGCAGCAGUAGGGAAUCUUCGGCAAUGGGCGAAAGCCUGACGGAGCAACGCCGCGUGAGUGAUGAAGGUCUUCGGAUCGUAAAACUCUGUUAUUAGGGAAGAACAAAUGUGUAAGUAAAUAUGCACGUCUUGACGGUACCUAAUCAGAAAGCCACGGCUAACUACGUG